CACUUAUAUUCAUUGAACUGAUAUACUGAAAUUGGAAUGGUACAGACAAGAUUAACAUGGCCUUGCACAAGGAUGACAUGCAAAUUUCUGAAGCAUUUCAUAUUUAA
RNAcentral lists this small nuclear RNA (107 nucleotides) under Castor canadensis (American beaver). The record is from RNAcentral. Lineage: Eukaryota; Metazoa; Chordata; Mammalia; Rodentia; Castoridae.